GAUAGACAUGUAACACAUGCAUAUAAGGCCUUCAGAUGUGCAAUGGCAAAAGAAUCAUCUAAGUAUUUCUGUGUUUCUUCUGGACAAUGGGAUUGAGAAUGAAGGUGGCAGCUGAACACGACUGUGAAUUCAAAGGCCACAGCGGCAACAGAGGACAAAAUCCAUCAUGAGCCUGAUGGGUUGGUGAGACGGAUUCAGGCACAGUGGGAAGGUGUAGGUUUGGCAAAAGGAUGAGGGUCCCACCUUAACAGCUGGUUUUUGGCAGUCUUCCCAGAAGUGCCUCCCUGAACUCUGAACAGCAGGUAUGAAUAAUGGCAGUUUCCAAAUCCUAUCACCCAGUCUUAAUCAUCCACAGCAUAGAUCCAUCCAGCAUGGCUUUAGUGAAUGCUUGGCCCAGUCGAAACAGAAGUUAAGUGCAGUAAAAGUUCUGGUGCAUCUAGUUAUAGCUGAGACUUUGUGCUGUCAGGCAUGUUUUUACUUGAAACUAUGAGAUAAACAUAGCAUUGCGUUACAAUGCUAAUUCCAUUUGAUGGUGAGCAAUUAAAAACAUUACAUUAAAAAUGAAAACAUUGUAGCUGAGAUGAAAAACUUGGAUGAGUUGAAAGAUUUCAAAGAAUGUUCUUAAUGGAGCAGUUGAUGCCAGAACCCUUGCGAGUACAAGUCUAUUCCUUCCUUCAUUAGGAUUGCUUCAGUCAGAAACAUUUAUAAUGCCUUGGAGGACAGGAUCAAUUCCAAGUCCGAGACCCCAUUUCUCCAUGAUCUGAUCAUGCCUGACUUGCCACCUUCUUCUCUUUAAUGGUUCUCUCAAAACUCCAUUCAACAAGGAUCUACACCACUUAACAGCCAUAGAAAUGCCAAAAAUGAAUUUUAUAUAAAAAAUUAGAAGCAUACAAAGCUUUGAGGAGGU
Molecule: long non-coding RNA, 907 nt
Organism: Heterocephalus glaber (naked mole-rat)
Lineage: Eukaryota; Metazoa; Chordata; Mammalia; Rodentia; Bathyergidae
Source: Ensembl